GUGCUCGUUUUGGCAGCACAUAUACUAAAAUUGGAACAAUACAGAGAAGAUUGGCAUGGCCUUUGCAAGAAAGACAUUCAAAUUCACGAAGUGUUCCAUAUUUUC
Small nuclear RNA from Acomys russatus (golden spiny mouse), 105 nucleotides. Lineage: Eukaryota; Metazoa; Chordata; Mammalia; Rodentia; Muridae. The record is from RefSeq and is a predicted model, not a curated record.